This 289-nucleotide ribosomal RNA is filed under the name Blastocystis hominis. Its description in RNAcentral is "partial 18S ribosomal RNA". It matches the Rfam family "Eukaryotic small subunit ribosomal RNA", at positions 42 to 348 of the family's 1831-position model. RNAcentral also lists the same sequence under 1 other name. Lineage: Eukaryota; Bigyra; Opalinata; Blastocystidae. The record is from RNAcentral.
GAUUAAGCCAUGCAUGUGUAAGUGUAAAUAUUUAAGUUUGGAACUGCGAAUGGCUCAUUAUAUCAGUUAUAGUUUAUUUGGUGAAGUGUACUACUUGGAUAACCGUAGUAAUUCUAGGGCUAAUACAUGAGAAAGUCCUCUGGUGAGGUGUGUUUAUUAGAAUGAAAACCAUAUGCUUCGGCAUGAUAGUGAGUAAUAGUAACCUAUCGUAUCGCAUGCUUAAUGUAGCGAUGAGUCUUUCAAGUUUCUGCCCUAUCAGCUUUCGAUGGUAGUAUAUGGGCCUACCAUG